RNAcentral lists this unclassified non-coding RNA (429 nucleotides) under plant metagenome. Its description in RNAcentral is "partial contains 5.8S ribosomal RNA, internal transcribed spacer 2, and large subunit ribosomal RNA". It matches the Rfam family "Bacterial small subunit ribosomal RNA", at positions 357 to 777 of the family's 1533-position model. The record is from RNAcentral.
GGGAAUCUUCCGCAAUGGACGAAAGUCUGACGGAGCAACGCCGCGUGAGUGAUGAAGGUUUUCGGAUCGUAAAGCUCUGUUGUUAGGGAAGAACAAGUACCGUUCGAAUAGGGCGGUACCUUGACGGUACCUAACCAGAAAGCCACGGCUAACUACGUGCCAGCAGCCGCGGUAAUACGUAGGUGGCAAGCGUUGUCCGGAAUUAUUGGGCGUAAAGGGCUCGCAGGCGGUUUCUUAAGUCUGAUGUGAAAGCCCCCGGCUCAACCGGGGAGGGUCAUUGGAAACUGGGGAACUUGAGUGCAGAAGAGGAGAGUGGAAUUCCACGUGUAGCGGUGAAGUGCGUAGAGAUGUGGAGGAACACCAGUGGCGAAGGCGACUCUCUGGUCUGUAACUGACGCUGAGGAGCGAAAGCGUGGGGAGCGAACAGGA